Molecule: transfer RNA, 76 nt
Filed under: Gammaproteobacteria bacterium
Lineage: Bacteria; Pseudomonadati; Pseudomonadota; Gammaproteobacteria
Also listed under: 2 other names
Description: tRNA-Arg
Rfam family: tRNA
About the family: Transfer RNA (tRNA) molecules are approximately 80 nucleotides in length.
Source: RNAcentral
GCGCCCGUAGCUCAGUGGAUAGAGUAUUGGCCUCCGAAGCCAAGGGUCGUGGGUUCGAAUCCCGCCGGGCGCGCCA